AUGAUGCUGAAGGGGAUUUGUCACCUUUUCUCCAUCUUAAGAUGCCUAGUAAAGGAAAUAGGAUACACUCACAAAAAGAUUAUCAUCAGUGGAGGAAAACAGUUAAUAACAUGUGAUGAUCAAGGCACACUAAAGGAAGACCAGGGAAAAGGUGGGUGUCACAUUAGACCCCCAAUAGAUGUGUGCAAAUCAGAAAAAAGGAAAAGAGAUGUGUCUUUAAAUUUCAGGGUUUGAGCUGCAAUGUUUGCUGACAGGACUAUAAAAGGAGACUAUUUGUCAUGGUGUGGGACUAAACUAUUUCCAAGGCCACCCAGAACAAACUGGAAGGGAUGUCACUCUCAUAUUUCACAGAAAUGCUUGAUAGUCACAAUUUCACACCAGCCAGUUCCCCUCAGAAAGAGCACUUCUUCAUCUGCCUAAUCAAAAUCAUCUAAUCAACCCUCAUCUAAGUGAGGGUGUAAAAAGUGCAUUAUGCAGAUAUGGUCCCUGCCCUCUGGGGGAUUACAAUCUAAAACCUGCAUACCUGGCUCCGACAAGCACAGAGACAUAAUUAACACAGAUAAGGAUGAGAAAUGUAUUUUCUGCAAGCCUCACUGCCAGCAGACAGAACAAUUUGUAGUCAUCACUGAUCUGAGCUGAAUUCAAAUUAGUGACCCAAAGGCUCCACUGUCUGGGUGUUAUUUUCAAUCUCCUUAGCUAUCCAAUCUCCAGAAGUUUCAUUUUUCAUUCUUACUGUGCAGUCAUCAUCAAGUACCAAAGGGAAAGACCGCAAUCCAGACACACUAAAAAUAGCAUUCUUGCCUUCUGAAACCCAGACUCAGAUUUAUGACAGUUUUAAAAUUUGGUUCUUCGUCUUAAAAGUCCAGCGUUCUACAAGAACUGUGCAAAGUAAUACCUACCUGGUCUUUAGAGCAUGAAACACUGUAACUUGAUGCAGUGGGAGAUCAGGCCUUUAUAUAAUCCAUUUACAUUAGGGAGAGAUAGCGUUUUCUUUUGCUUGACAAGUUGACGUGCCUUCAUGUGUUUUCCACUUAAUCAGCAGAAUCAUUAAGGCACUGAAGGUUUUGAUGGUCUCAAUAAAAAACAUCUAUUUCUGUAAAACCUAGCCCUA
Molecule: long non-coding RNA, 1111 nt
Filed under: Vulpes vulpes (red fox)
Lineage: Eukaryota; Metazoa; Chordata; Mammalia; Carnivora; Canidae
Description: lncRNA (ENSVVUG00000000838.1)
Source: RNAcentral